RNAcentral lists this small nuclear RNA (191 nucleotides) under Naja naja (Indian cobra). RNAcentral's name for it is "U2 spliceosomal RNA (ENSNNAG00000007810.1)". It matches the Rfam family "U2 spliceosomal RNA". Rfam says of the family: U2 is a small nuclear RNA (snRNA) component of the spliceosome (involved in pre-mRNA splicing). The record is from Rfam by way of RNAcentral. Lineage: Eukaryota; Metazoa; Chordata; Lepidosauria; Squamata; Elapidae.
AUCGCUUCUCGGCCUUUUGGCUGAGAUCAAGUGUAGUGUCUGUUCUUAUCUGUUUGAUAUCUGAUAUGUCCUUUAGAUGAGGACUGUGUAUUGGAUGGGUUUUUGAGACUUGGAGAUGGGGUGGGGGCUUGCUCCGUCCACUUCAUGCAUUGACCUGAUAUUGCAGUACUUCCGGGACCAGUGCACCAAAA